CCUACGGGAGGCAGCAGUGGGGAAUAUUGGACAAUGGGCGAAAGCCUGAUCCAGCCAUGCCGCGUGUGUGAAGAAGGCCUUCGGGUUGUAAAGCACUUUCAGUGGGGAAGAAAGCCUUGGGGCUAAUACCCUCGAGGAAGGACAUCACCCACAGAAGAAGCACCGGCUAACUCCGUGCCAGCAGCCGCGGUAAUACGGAGGGUGCGAGCGUUAAUCGGAAUUACUGUGCGUAAAGCGCGCGUAGGCGGUCUGAUAAGCCGGUUGUGAAAGCCCCGGGCUCAACCUGGGAACGGCAUCCGGAACUGUCAGGCUAGAGUGCAGGAGAGGAAGGUAGAAUUCCCGGUGUAGCGGUGAAAUGCGUAGAGAUCGGGAGGAAUACCAGUGGCGAAGGCGGCCUUCUGGACUGACACUGACGCUGAGGUGCGAAAGCGUGGGUAGCAAACAGGAUUAGAUACCCGAGUAGUC
Molecule: ribosomal RNA, 465 nt
Filed under: Vreelandella stevensii
Lineage: Bacteria; Pseudomonadati; Pseudomonadota; Gammaproteobacteria; Oceanospirillales; Halomonadaceae
Description: partial 16S ribosomal RNA
Rfam family: Bacterial small subunit ribosomal RNA
Source: RNAcentral